RNAcentral lists this ribosomal RNA (217 nucleotides) under Salmonella enterica subsp. enterica serovar Infantis. Its description in RNAcentral is "partial 23S ribosomal RNA". It matches the Rfam family "Bacterial large subunit ribosomal RNA", at positions 2714 to 2925 of the family's 2925-position model. The record is from RNAcentral. RNAcentral also lists the same sequence under 3 other names. Lineage: Bacteria; Pseudomonadati; Pseudomonadota; Gammaproteobacteria; Enterobacterales; Enterobacteriaceae.
GUUCGGGUUGUCAUGCCAAUGGCACUGCCCGGUAGCUAAAUGCGGAAGAGAUAAGUGCUGAAAGCAUCUAAGCACGAAACUUGCCCCGAGAUGAGUUCUCCCUGAGACUUAAAGUCUCCUGAAGGAACGUUGAAGACGACGACGUUGAUAGGCCGGGUGUGUAAGCGCAGCGAUGCGUUGAGCUAACCGGUACUAAUGAACCGUGAGGCUUAACCUU